GUGUGUUCCAGGUAAAUCCGGUUCACUUUAACACUGAGGCGUGACGACGAGGCACUACGGUGCUGAAGCAACAAAUGCCCUGCUUCCAGGAAAAGCCUCUAAGCAUCAGGUAACAUCAAAUCGUACCCCAAACCGACACAGGUGGUCAGGUAGAGAAUACCAAGGCGCUUGAGAGAACUCGGGUGAAGGAACUAGGCAAAAUGGUGCCGUAACUUCGGGAGAAGGCACGCUGACAUGUAGGUGAAGUGAUUUACUCAUGGAGCUGAAGUCAGUCGAAGAUACCAGCUGGCUGCAACUGUUUAUUAAAAACACAGCACUGUGCAAACACGAAAGUGGACGUAUACGGUGUGACGCCUGCCCGGUGCCGGAAGGUUAAUUGAUGGGGUCAGCGCAAGCGAAGCUCCUGAUCGAAGCCCCGGUAAACGGCGGCCGUAACUAUAACGGUCCUAAGGUAGCGAAAUUCCUUGUCGGGUAAGUUCCGACCUGCACGAAUGGCGUAAUGAUGGCCAGGCUGUCUCCACCCGAGACUCAGUGAAAUUGAACUCGCUGUGAAGAUGCAGUGUACCCGCGGCAAGACGGAAAGACCCCGUGAACCUUUACUAUAGCUUGACACUGAACAUUGAGCCUUGAUGUGUAGGAUAGGUGGGAGGCUUUGAAGUGUGGACGCCAGUCUGCAUGGAGCCGACCUUGAAAUACCACCCUUUAAUGUUUGAUGUUCUAACGUGGACCCGUAAUCCGGGUUGCGGACAGUGUCUGGUGGGUAGUUUGACUGGGGCGGUCUCCUCCUAAAGAGUAACGGAGGAGCACGAAGGUUGGCUAAUCCUGGUCGGACAUCAGGAGGUUAGUGCAAUGGCAUAAGCCAGCUUGACUGCGAGCGUGACGGCGCGAGCAGGUGCGAAAGCAGGUCAUAGUGAUCCGGUGGUUCUGAAUGGAAGGGCCAUCGCUCAACGGAUAAAAGGUACUCCGGGGAUAACAGGCUGAUACCGCCCAAGAGUUCAUAUCGACGGCGGUGUUUGGCACCUCGAUGUCGGCUCAUCACAUCCUGGGGCUGAAGUAGGUCCCAAGGGUAUGGCUGUUCGCCAUUUAAAGUGGUACGCGAGCUGGGUUUAGAACGUCGUGAGACAGUUCGGUCCCUAUCUGCCGUGGGCGCUGGAGAACUGAGGGGGGCUGCUCCUAGUACGAGAGGACCGGAGUGGACGCAUCACUGGUGUUCGGGUUGUCAUGCCAAUGGCACUGCCCGGUAGCUAAAUGCGGAAGAGAUAAGUGCUGAAAGCAUCUAAGCACGAAACUUGCCCCGA
Molecule: ribosomal RNA, 1298 nt
Filed under: Salmonella enterica subsp. enterica serovar Indiana
Lineage: Bacteria; Pseudomonadati; Pseudomonadota; Gammaproteobacteria; Enterobacterales; Enterobacteriaceae
Description: partial 23S ribosomal RNA
Rfam family: Bacterial large subunit ribosomal RNA
Source: RNAcentral